AGAACGAACGCUGGCGGCAGGCCUCAAACAUGCAAGUCUAGGGGGUGUAGCAAUACAUCACCGGCGGACGGGUGCGUAACGCGUGGGAAUAUACCUAUUGGUUCGGAACAACUGAGGGAAACUUCAGCUAAUACCGAAUGUGCCCUAACGGGGAAAGAUUUAUCGCCAAUGGAUUAGCCCGCGUUCGAUUAGCUAGUUGGUGGGGUAACGGCCCACCAAGGCGACGAUCGAUAGCUGUUCUGAGAGGAAGAUCAGCCACACUGGGACUGAGACACGGCCCAGACUCCUACGGGAGGCAGCAGUUGGGAAUCUUGGACAAUGGGGGAAACCCUGAUCCAGCCAUGCCGCGUGAGUGAUGAAGGCCUUCGGGUUGUAAAACUCUUUCGCGCACGACGAUAAUGACGGUAGUGCGAGAAGAAGCUCCGGCUAACUUCGCGCCAGCAGCCGC
Molecule: ribosomal RNA, 448 nt
Filed under: uncultured bacterium
Lineage: Bacteria
Description: SSU rRNA
Rfam family: Bacterial small subunit ribosomal RNA
Source: RNAcentral